CUUCUACUCCCUCCGUUCCAAAAUAGAUGACUCAACUUUGUACUAACUUUCUAAAGUUAGUAAAGUUAGUACAAAGUUGAGUCAUCUAUUUUGGAACGGAGGGAGUAGAUA
Non-coding RNA from Triticum aestivum (bread wheat), 111 nucleotides. Lineage: Eukaryota; Viridiplantae; Streptophyta; Magnoliopsida; Poales; Poaceae. The record is from Rfam.